GCAGCUUGCACAUCGUCUUCUUAGGCCC
RNAcentral lists this small RNA (28 nucleotides) under Bombyx mori (domestic silkworm). Its description in RNAcentral is "ovarian small RNA-5279". The record is from RNAcentral. Lineage: Eukaryota; Metazoa; Arthropoda; Insecta; Lepidoptera; Bombycidae.